This 518-nucleotide ribosomal RNA is filed under the name Candidatus Moraniibacteriota bacterium. RNAcentral describes it as "bacterial LSU rRNA". It matches the Rfam family "Bacterial large subunit ribosomal RNA", at positions 2273 to 2913 of the family's 2925-position model. The record is from RNAcentral. Lineage: Bacteria; Candidatus Moraniibacteriota.
ACUGGGGCGGUCGCCUCCUAAAUAGCAACGGAGGCGUUUACAAAGGUUGGCUAGGUCCGGAUGGAAAUCGGGCCGAUAGCGCAAAAGCACAAGCCAGCUUUACUGGAAGACCCAUAAGUCGAUCAGUUACGAAAGUAGAAUUUAGUGAACCGACCAUCCCACGUAGGUGGGUGGAAGAUCAUCAGAUAAAAGUNNGGUACGCGAGCUGGGUUCAAACCGUCGUGAGACAGGUUGGUCUCUAUCUGCUGUAGGCGUGAGUGCUUGAGAGGACUCUUUCUUAGUACGAGAGGACCGGAAAGAACAAACCUCUGGUGUAUCGGUUGUUCCGCCAGGAGCAUUGCCGAGUAGCUAUGUUUGGACGAGAUAACCGCUGAAAGCAUCUAAGCGGGAAGCUCACCUCAAGAUAAGGCACUAGCCAUGAUUCGUCAUGGUAGGACAUCCUAGAAGACUACUAGGUUGAUAGGCUUUAGGUGUAAGUUCGGCAACGAAUUUAGCCAAGAAGUACUAAUAUGUUCAUU